This is a long non-coding RNA of Melospiza melodia melodia, 5063 nucleotides long. RefSeq lists it as uncharacterized. The record is from RefSeq and is a predicted model, not a curated record. The transcript has 6 exons. NCBI's taxonomy places the organism in Eukaryota, Metazoa, Chordata, Aves, Passeriformes, Passerellidae.
UGGUGGGAUGUGGGUGCUGAGCUCUGCCCAGGGGCCUGGGGCUCCCUCAGUGACUGCGGGGCAAAUUCCCUUUAAUCCAGGGAAUUAAACCCCAGGCAAAGCCAUUGAUGGCCAUGCUUUAGCUGAGAUCCAGGCCAAAUCCUGUUUCCAUUGAAGCUAAAUGGGAGCUUUAGCUGCUGGUUUCAGAGGGAUCAGGGCUAGGACCUGCUGCCAGGUGUUGAGCACAUCUGCCCUACUGACCUCAGCAGGAUGGGCUGCCCUGCCCAGGGAUGGGUUCUGGCUUCCUGUGUGCUGCAAUGAUCUCAGAGUACUUAGGGUGACAGUGGGCACUCAAGCUGUGCUUUGCCUCCCCUCUACAGGUCCUGACACCAAAACAACCGUGACAGGUUGACAAGGUUCUGACAGCCUUGCUCCAUUUGAGCCAUCUCCAGCUGCUGAUUCGUCAUUUGCCUCCUCAAAACCAUCUCCUGAUAUGGAAACAGCUCAUCACUGCCUGUAACCAGCAGGAACACCAGGUCCUGCAGCAUCUGUUUUGGACAUCAAGGCAAGUGGGCCUGGGACAGCUUUAUCUGGGGAAGAACACUACUGAUGUUUACUACUGGUGUUGUACUAGAACUGCUGCUUGCCUGCUGCUGCCAGGAGAAGCACUCCCAGACAGGCUGACCUUCCAAGAUGGGAGACCCCAAAAUCCUCAGCACAAGAGAAAGAGCUACAGAGGGAGAAUGGAGCAAGGCAGGUCCCAGGGCCCUGGUUGUGCUGCCUGGUGUGUCCCAGCAGUGUCAGCUGCCUUGGAGCAGCACCUCAGCUACUUCUGCUCUCUGAAGACUUGUGUGAAAGUGACCAAGACACAAGGGGCCAGGACUGCUCCUGGAAGAGGAAAAGCCUAUUGGUGUUGCCUGAAUGAAGGGGCUGAGUGUCUGCAUUCACAUCCUGGGAAAGCAGUUGAGAUUGAUCCUGGUUUGGUCACCCACUGAUGAGCUAAUUUUAACACCAACCAUGAGCAUCUCACCGCUGGAAUUGCUGUGUGCCCGCUUGUGUGAGCGAGCAAAUCACUCCAGCAGCAGCGUGGAUCGUUCUUCUGCACCCAUUGUUAUGGAAAUCGCCUUAGAGACUGUUGCUCCAGCAAACAUUUUUAGAAGCACGGUUUGCUUCUCAUGCUCCUCAUCACUGCCUGCAGUGGAGCAGGACCAGCUCUCCAGCCUGUGCCCAGGAGCCUCCUGCAGCCUCAGCUGAUGGAAGGGGAAAAGCACAGAUCCAGUGACCUUUGUUUGCCUCACUGCUGCUCACAGUCCCUGCCUGACAUUUGAGGAGUGCUCUUAAAAAAACCCUACCAUUUCUGGCACACUGGCCCUGCUGCUGAAGAGCUGUUCCUCUUCCACCUCCUUCACCUACUGGGAUUAAAAGCUACAGGUAAUGCUGGGGAGUAAAUGAAAGGCUUUCCACAAGGAAAUAAGCUAAAACAGUAAACAAAAGGCUGAUUCUUAGAAGCAAAACAACUGAAGGUGUCACCAGGAAAACAUGGUGACGAAUCUCUCUGGUCCUCGGAAGUUGCCUUACAUAUGUUGGAAAUUACCUUGUGACUCAGCCAGCUCAGUGUGUCUGGUGCCACUGUGCUGAAAGCUUUUAGCUGACCUCAAUACCCAAGGUUUUCAAGGAAAUAAUAUUUCCCUUGAGAAAUGUCACCACCAGAGCCAAGCCUCUCCUGAGAAAAGCCUGGCUUAGGUGGGUGAUUUCUCCUGCUCUGGGAGCAGCCUCCCUGAGGAGCUGAGCUCCCACUGCUGUGUCCCUGUGGGCACGCCCAGAGCUCUGCUCUCACUCCUCUGGCAGAGGGCUCUCCAAAGCAAGGUCCAAGUGAAAGCCUUUUAAUCAUCCUGCAGCCAUCUCCUGGGAGUGUUCUCUUCCCUGCUGCCCUUCUCCCUCCAGAGUCUGCCUUCUUACGCAGAGCCAGUGACUCACUCCCUGGGAUGUCUUUGCUGAAUUUGCCUGGUCACCUCCUUCCCUGAGUGCUGCUUCUUGCUUGUCACAUGGUGAGUGAAGGAGCACAGGCACAGUGUGUGCUGGGAUGGCACCAGCUGCUGGCAGGAUCCCCCUUUCUCGUGCCCUGGGUGUCCCUAGGCUGUUGUGGGGCAGAAGGGAAGGGAUGUGUGUCUCCAAUUCCAUCCUUUUCUCCAAGAUCCACCACCUGAGCUAUGGAAUGCUGUGAGCCCUCCCUGCUCCCCUGGCUUUGCACGUUGCAGGGUGCCAUUCACAAGGACCUCAGUGUGCAAAGAGGAGCUUUGUGAAGUCCAGCAAAGGGAGUGGGAGCUCCUGCCCCCAAGGAGGAAUGACCCCACUCACCUGUACAAUGACCCAGUACAAACUGGGGACCAGCUGGCUGGAAAACAGCUGUGCAGGUAGAGACCUGGGAGGUCCUGGUGGAUAAUGAGCUGACCAUGAGCCAGUGGUGCCUUCUCACAAUCAGCAACAUCCUGAGCUGGAUUAAUCAGCAACAUCAUGAGCUGGAUUAAGAAGAGCAUUGCCAGCAGGCCAAGGGGGAAGGAGGAAGGAGGUUUUGAUUCAUCCUUUUUGAUGAGGCACUGCUGCCAGAAACUGGAUUGGCACAUUGUGAGUGCUUCAGGUACUUCUUGCCAACUCUGAGGUCCAGCAGAGUCCUGCAUGAAGGAACUUAAACCCCAGUUCAAGGCUUGGAAAGCAGGACACAGACAGAGGGAAGGAACCUGCCCAGCAUCACACAAUUAAGCCAGUGGUGGAUUGGGAAGUGACUUGACUCUUCCCCAAGACCUGGUUCAGUUCCCUCUAUGCUGGGUCCUGUUCUUGUAGGUCAUAUAUGUGUAUUCAGAAGUUGUGAAUGUACCCAAGAGCCUCAGGCUGGCCAAAGGGGUGCUUUGUGUUCAAAAUAAAGUCCUGUUUCCUGGAAACUAAACUUUUUUGGGGAAAAAAGAGCAUGGCUCAGCUGAACAUUGCUAACGCUGUGAGGAAAAUAGAAGUUGUUUUUUGAUGCUCUGAAAGAGGAACCAGCCCCUUGCUCCUGAAAUGCUGCAUGGAAAUGGAUUCUUGGGUGUUGUUUAGUUUUAAGUGCAGUGAGGGGUUGCAAAACCAGAGAAUUUGACACAAGGCAAAAACCUUUGUAACCAGAGCAUCUUCACAGAUGUCCAGCAGAAGUUCUCCAGGGGAGAGCACAGGUGUGAGAGCUCAAAGCAGGGCAUGAGCCUGGGCUGCCUGUCCAUUCAUAGCCACAAAAUACACUCCAACCAGAACAACUGCAUGAAUGAAAAGUAGCAUUGUAGGAAACCUGCUCUGGCUGGGAGACGUGCACAGCUCAUUGGAGUAAAAGGAUAUGAAGAAUGAUUGACUUUAACACCACCCAUGGUGACGCGUCUGGAGCCUGUCCCGAAACUGAUGCGGUUGCUGCUGCGACCGCAGAAUGGAGGUGAAACAUUUCUCUUCUGGUUUCACAGGACCACACGCUGGCGGCUACACCUGCCUCCCUCGCACCACCAGAAAGGAUCCCUGUAAGAUUUCUGGGCUGUUUUCAGCACAACAGGGACUUUAGACCCAGAUUUUAGUUCUCUGCACGAGCUGCUGCUGCUCCCCUUGUGAAUUGAAGGUGCCUCGAUAAACAUUCUGAAAGGUCAGCUAUUUUCACUGUGCCUGUGGCUUGCAUAAGAACCUCGACAUCCUCUGCUGCGAAGAGCAGUGUUAGGAACUUCCUACUGCCACACUGAAUCACAAUGGCUUCCCACAGCAACCAGUGGUAAAAAUAAACCGGGCAAGGGGAAGUGGACAGCUUCUGCUGUUCCGCUUUCUCGGGCACACUUGAGUCACAAAAAAAGCGAUGUACAACAAGACAUUUAUUUUGCUGAUGCCAAUGAAAUCCAUGAAUGGUUCAGAGCACGGUCCCGCUGAAAUCACAGAGUGUUUUGCAAUGAGAUGCUCGCUGUGCUCAAAGUUAAGCGUGUGCUCAAAUGCUGUCUUAAGUUGGUAUUUUCAUUAGGAUCCAGCCUUAGGAAUUAGACUGAAAGGAGGCAGGGACCCCUGCACAUCCAAGAGCUGCUUUUGUACUAAAGGCACAGGAAUACAGCCCUCUUGGUGUAUUUCAUGUGUUAAGGGUCUAUAAAAGACCACUGAGGAGACAAUGGCUCUGAAAUAGUUUCAGCAGUAGAUCUCAGCUUUGAGAAAAACAGAUUUUGACCAGAAGAAAUGUGUCUUCAGAUACAAAUCAAUGUGAAGUUCUGCCUAGGGACAAUGCCAUUUGAACAGCACAGUUCUCAACAACAUUACAACUAAGACUCUGUGUGUGCACGUGUUUGUUUGCGUGUGGGGGAGUGUUUUAAGAGCAAUAUUUUUCCUGUUACACAAGGUACAGCCCAGUUCUGGCUGAAAUUCAGCCAGCUGGGGAAAAAAAACUUGAGGAGACCUAGUCAGGUUACUGAGCCUGGGAAUCUUCUGGUGAAGCAGACCUGCCUCUUCCCUUCAAACAGUGUGUGCUGACAAAGUUUAUAUUAAGAGGCUAAAGAGAUGAAAAGUUAGGGAGAAUUGAAAUGGCUUAUCUGCCCCAGACUGGGAAAAAGGAAUGGUUCCAACUCAUGCUUACAGGAAUUUGGAGAGCAGGGGCUUGUAGGAUAACCCAGGAGAGAAGAGAGCACAGCAGAGCUCCAAUCAGACCUCUGUCUGAAAGCUGGGUCAGCCCUGGGGACAGGUCAGGUUACCUGGGGAUGGUUGAGUUGGAUCCUGAAAUCAGUCGAGGAUGGAGAUUGCACAACCUCUCUGAGCAAUCCACCAGUGUUUGACUGCCUGCAUGGUGAAAAUAGACUGCAGGAGAAGUGGCUCAUACAGAACCAUAUUUUUAAUGUCAUCCUGCUCAUUAAAAAGAGAAAGAUCAAAUCUAUUUUGUAACAGGAACAGUUUGUGUGAGGCACGGAAAACUUCUGGUACCAGAGGUCUGAUUCACAUGAGAAGGAAUGUAAAAGAUGGAAGGAAACCAAAGGGUGCCUCCAGUUACAUUCCUGUCUUCAAAUGUUAGUGUUGCAGCACAAAAGGUUUGUAUUUAUAGUAGUGGAUAC